CACGUAGGCUCCAAGCGUUGUCCGGAUUUAUUGGGCGUAAAGAGCUCGUAGGCGGUUUAGUGAGUCGGGUGUGAAAACUCUGGGCUUAACCCAGAGAGGCCACUCGAUACUGCUAUGACUAGAGUACGGUAGGGGAGUGGGGAAUUCCUGGUGUAGCGGUGAAAUGCGCAGAUAUCAGGAGGAACACCAGUGGCGAAGGCGCCACUCUGGGCCGAAACUGACGCUGAGGAGCGAAAGCGUGGGUAGCAAACAGG
Molecule: ribosomal RNA, 254 nt
Filed under: uncultured bacterium
Lineage: Bacteria
Also listed under: 1 other name
Description: partial 16S ribosomal RNA
Rfam family: Bacterial small subunit ribosomal RNA
Source: RNAcentral